AGAGUUUGAUCCUGGCUCAGGAUAAACGCUGACAGAAUGCUUAACACAUGCAAGUCGAUGACUAAGUAUAGCUUGCUAUACAAGGUCAUGGCGGACGGGUGAGUAACGUGUAAAGAACUUACCUUAUAGACUGGGAUAACAGAUAGAAAUGUCUGAUAAUACUAGAUACUAUUACACUGUGGCAUCACAGAGUAAUGAAAGAAUACGCUAUAAGAGAGCUUUGCAUCCUAUUAGCUAGUUGGUAAGGUAAAGGCUUACCAAGGCGAUGAUAGGUAGCCGGCCUGAGAGGGUGGACGGCCACAAGGGGACUGAGAUACGGCCCUUACUCCUACGGGAGGCAGCAGUGGGGAAUAUUGGACAAUGGAGGAAACUCUGAUCCAGCAAUUCUGUGUGUGUGAAGAAGGUCUUCGGAUUGUAAAACACUUUUAGUUGGGAAGAAACAAAUGACGGUACCAACAGAAGAAGCGACGGCUAAAUACGUGCCAGCAGCCGCGGUAAUACGUAUGUCGCAAGCGUUAUCCGGAAUUAUUGGGCUUAAAGGGCAUCUAGGCGGUAUAACAAGUUGAAGGUGAAAAGCUGUAGCUCAACUAUAGUCUUGCCUACAAAACUGUAAUACUAGAGUACUGGAAAGGUGGGUGGAACUACACGAGUAGAGGUGAAAUUCGUAGAUAUGUGUAGGAAUGCCGAUGAUGAAGAUAACUCACUGGACAGAAACUGACGCUGAAGUGCGAAAGCUAGGGGAGCAAACAGGAUUAGAUACCCUGGUAGUCCUAGCUGUAAACGAUGAUUACUGGGUGUGGGGAUGAGAAGUCUCUGUGCCGAAGCAAAAGCGAUAAGUAAUCCGCCUGGGGAGUACGUUCG
Molecule: ribosomal RNA, 861 nt
Filed under: uncultured bacterium
Lineage: Bacteria
Description: bacterial SSU rRNA
Rfam family: Bacterial small subunit ribosomal RNA
Source: RNAcentral